This is a long non-coding RNA of Dreissena polymorpha, 1996 nucleotides long. RefSeq lists it as uncharacterized. Lineage: Eukaryota; Metazoa; Mollusca; Bivalvia; Myida; Dreissenidae. The transcript has 3 exons. The record is from RefSeq and is a predicted model, not a curated record.
UAAGUGCAAUGUAAUCCUGUUUGGUGGGGUGGGUUUUUUGAAAAAAAUAGUGGCUGCAUUAAUGGCUGCCUCCAUGAAUAACAUUUUUAGCAAAAGAUAAAAUUAAACUUAAUCUGACUUUUUGAAUAUGAUCCCGUUAAUAAAGUGUCGUCUAAUUAAGUCUCCACAAUUAAUGUGCACACGUGGAGUGAAUUUUAGUAAAUGCCAAUUAGACAAACACUUGGCUAACUGCAGUAAACAUUACCCUCAACGGAGUUACGCAACCAACCAAAUUCCAAAGAAAUUUCAGAGAAAAUUUCUUCCGUUUGAACAGACCUCGUCUGGAACUGCAGAAAAAGUGAUAUUUUCCUGUCAAAAAUGGAAAUUUCGAGCAUUUUUGGUGUCUUGCAGUGGAGUUUUCUUGUGUGGGACUAUACUAAAUUCCACAGAACUAAUUUACAAUGUUUUGAAGUCAAAGUCAAAGGCUGUGGCAAAUGAGCGUGGUGAAUAUCCCUGGUAUUACUGGUGGACAUAUAUAAAUGUUGACUUAGGCAGCUUUCCAGUGAGGAUUGCUCUAGCUGCUUUACUUACUGGAUGCGCUGUCUUUGUUCUGGCAAUGUCAAUGAUGUACCCAUCGCGUGUUGUUCGUGAAUUAACCAUAUUAAAAGGACAUGAAAAGCUUCUAAUAGAGACCUAUGGACCUUUUGGAAUACCCAGAACUAUUGAGAUACCAUUAAAAGAUCUAUCAGCAGUUUGGGGUGCUAAGAGCAUCGCACAAGAGAAAACGAUGCCUUUGAAAGUAAGAGGAAAGCGUUUCUUCUUUCAAGUUUUGACUGAGAAAGGACAGAUACACGACAAAGAACUUUUUGAUCAUGCAAUUGCAGUACAAAGAUUUGAGGUUGAAAGAUUAUCUUGGCGAAAAUAAUGUGACAUUGUUGACUUCGCAUUUUAUGCCAGUAAGAGGAACACUUUGUAUGACACUGUUAUAUCUGUGUAAACUACAGAACUAAAUAAAAGAAAACAAUUACUUUUGUCUCCACAGUCUCCACAGUUUCACUUACAAAACAAUCUUACAUACUUGCAUGAAAUUGACUCAAGCAAAAACAAAUAUAGGUUUAAACCAAUGUAUGUGUUGUUCAACUCAUGGAUCAGCUCAUUUUUAGUUUAAUUCCUUAAUCAUCAGUUUCCAAAUUCAAAUUAGUUGGGCAUAACAUGCAACUUACGAAAUCAUAUGUGUAGGUGUUUAGGACACAUGUAAAACAAGACAAUUUAUUGAAUCGAUACCCCCACCUAAUAAAUUUGGUUUAUGGAUGGAUGCAGAACAACUUUGCUAAUAAAGGGCAGUGUGCAACAAAAUUUGUUUGACUUGACCUUGGCCAAACGGACAAGGGUCUUGCAUGUUCCUCACUGCCUCAGGGAAUUUGUUAAUUCCUUGCUUUAUAGUAGAACUCUAACAAAAUACACCAUGAUUAAUCAAAAUUCGUAACAUUUUACCUCAGUGUGUGACCUUGAACCUAGAGACCUUAGUCUUAAUGUGACACUCAGCCAGAUAAAGGAGAACAAUUGUAGGAAGUUAUUACAGAAUCCCUUGAUGCAUAACAAAGUAGUGUUCUGGGCUCCUCUGGAGCAUUGUCGCACAAUUGUGACAAUGUACAUGCGUAAGGGGAAACGCGUGCAAAACAGCUAAAAAUCAAGAUAAAAACAAGUUGCUCCAGAGUUAAGGCCUUAGAAUGUCCAUCAUGGUCUUAAAGACGUCGAGGGAUGGUGCCAUGAACGUCGCUUCUGGUAGGCUGUUCCAGAUGCGGAUGCCAGAGGGAAAGAAGGAGUAUUUGUAGACAUUGACGCUGGCAAAGGGUACAAGGAACCUGUUCGCGUGGCCUCUUGUAUGAGCACCAGCUGAUAGUAGGAUGUGCUUGGAUUGGAUCUCUACUAGGUUGUUUAUGAUCCUGAACAUCAUGAUGGCUUUGAAGUGCUGGCGACGGGCUUCUUGUGUCCCAGUCAAGCCUUUUCAUCAUGG